RNAcentral lists this non-coding RNA (193 nucleotides) under Paenibacillus sp. FSL K6-1230. RNAcentral's name for it is "6S RNA". It matches the Rfam family "6S / SsrS RNA". From Rfam's summary of the family: E. coli 6S RNA was the first non coding RNA to be sequenced, but its function was unknown until recently. It consists of 184 nucleotides that fold into an extended hairpin structure with a large single-stranded internal bulge. Lineage: Bacteria; Bacillati; Bacillota; Bacilli; Caryophanales; Paenibacillaceae. The record is from RNAcentral.
AACAUCCUGCUGUGUACGUCACGGUCAUUCGUUGUUUUGAACCAAUGACAUUGUCUAGGGAGAUUUAUACGAUCAGCGGCUGACAUGCCCUGUCAAUUCUGACAUGGGGACUUCAAAUGCGUGAUCUGCGAUCACCCACCUGCUGAAGCAGGUUCAGAAGACACUAUGGUCGGACGGCAUCGGCGGGUUACAU